This is a long non-coding RNA of Phyllostomus hastatus (greater spear-nosed bat), 1237 nucleotides long. RefSeq lists it as uncharacterized. The record is from RefSeq and is a predicted model, not a curated record. The transcript is spliced from 4 exons. Lineage: Eukaryota; Metazoa; Chordata; Mammalia; Chiroptera; Phyllostomidae.
CCGUGAAAAAAGAACAUUUGCGGAGGCAGAAGUUGAGGGCAGCCUUGGACACAGCUGAGCUCCCGAAGCUGAUGAUUAAACGGCAGGAAACUCCCUCACCCUCUCCUGUUAUGACUCCUGAAACUUAGUCCAGGAUAUCUGAAUCUAUGGAACGCGGGUGUUCGGUGUCACCUUGGAAUGUCAGGAAGACCACGAUCGAAGUUAAAGGAAUUCAAAUCACUGAUUAGGUAACGCGCUGUUUAGCAAGCAUUGUGAGCCAGACAGAGUUAGAAAGUAGCCAUUCUUGGCCUUUCCAAAGCUGAGUAACUGUGUGAAGGAUGCAUUUGAGUAGGAGAAAGCCAUCCAUUCGCCGUCUUCCUUGCCAAUUUUGUUUGCUUCAAAACAGAGUGUGAAAGCACUGAGCUCCGGAAUGGAGACACUUUUUGCAGUGGAUACCUGACACCCCAUACCUUACUCAUGUUCCCUACCAGGACGGUCAUUCAGGAACAAAGGAAAGGACAAUUCCUCUGAGGAGAGGGAGUCUAAUACAACAAACUACAAACAUGGAAUUUUAAGCUGUAUUUCUGGACUACAGCAUUUUAUUUCCUUGAUGUUUGAGCUCGUGGUUGGGAGGGCAGAAGAUGGAACUCCCAUCCCAGCUCUUCCACUGUGCCAUGUGACCUUGGAUAUGUUCCUCACUUUGCUCUGCUCUAGUCUUUUCAUCUGCACAUUGAGGGACAAUGGCACCUAUGACACAGGUGCUCAACAGGAGUUAAGUAAGUUAAUACCUGCAAAGCACUAGGGAGGUGCUUCUGCAUAGUCUAUCUGUAGCUUGUAUUGAUUACUAAUAUAGAUUACUACUAUUAUAUGCAUAAAAAUCCAAAAUAAAAAUACACUAGCCUAUUCCUUCUGAACAUAUAUGAAAAUACUAAAUGAUACAAUGGAUUUUGCCCUAUGCUAAUACAAUAGACAUUGUGAAAGAUUAUGAACUAAUUUGAGAGAGAAGGAGCUCUCCUAAAAAAUACCGUUUAAUACUGGUUUCAUAUGAAGGCUAGUUCAAAUAUAUUUUAAUACAUACCAAAAUAGGUCUAUGGCAAAAACGUCAUUUUAAAAUAAAUAUUCUAGUUAAAAGUCCAUGAUGGAAUUUAAUAGAAUUAUGUAUUUUAGUGUACUUUUAUAAUAUCAAGCAGUUUACAGGUCUAUUGACCUAAAAUGAUCUUAUGCAGUAUGAACCCAGUGCUCUACACAUGUUGUUAAA